Molecule: ribosomal RNA, 253 nt
Filed under: uncultured bacterium
Lineage: Bacteria
Description: partial 16S ribosomal RNA
Rfam family: Bacterial small subunit ribosomal RNA
Source: RNAcentral
UACAGAGGGUGCGAGCGUUGUUCGGAAUUAUUGGGCGUAAAGGGCGCGUAGGCGGUGCCACAAGUCACUUGUGAAAUCCCCCGGGCUUAACUCGGGGCCUGCAGGCGAAACUGUGGCGCUGGAGUAUGGGAGAGGUGCGUGGAAUUCCCGGUGUAGAGGUGAAAUUCGUAGAUAUCGGAGAGACACCGGUGGCGAAGGCGGCCAACUGGACGAGUACUGACGCUGAGACACGAAAGCGUGGGGAGCAAACAGG